UGCGCUGCGGCGGGCGGCUGCAGGCGGGUAGCAGAACCUGCCUCUCUGGCUCCGCUCCUCAGACAAGGCCUGCAGAAAGACUUGCCGGCGCCCCCGUCCUCCCUGACCUUCUUCCACUGAACAAAGCAGGUUAUCUGAGCUGUAGCGAAUCUCCACCCAUAUAGAACUUUAAAGUUUUAUUUUGAAUGACAAAAGAAGUAUGGCCUAGAUUGGUUGUCCCUCGUGCUAAAAAGGCAUUUUUCCAGCUGUGGCUCAUCAAGGAGGGGGCCGUUAGGGGAAUGAGCUGGAACGCGGAGAGGGGAGAGAUCAGUCACUUCCCGGAGUGCCACGGCCCCAGGGACCCUCCGUAACCUCCCCCAGCGUGGCCACAGCCGGCCCUCGGACGGCGGAAGACAUUUGGUCAGCCCUGCCCGCCCGCUGGCGCACUUGUCUCCAGCCCUCGGCGCCACACCUCCUCCCCACCAGGCGCACCGCGUGGUUUGCCCAGUUUCCCGGAUCCCGCAGAGAGGCGGCGGUGUUGAGGGCACGCCGCCUCCUCCUCCCGCCCUCUGGUUCGGGGGGCCCCUGGCGCACCACCCCCAGUGCAGGCUCUCGCGGGGCCGGACUCAGCCAGUGCCGCAGGUGCAGCCCAGAGGCAACACGCGGCUCUCCGUUCCCCUGCCCUCCGGGAGACCGAGCCCCACCUGGCCGCAGCGCUCGCAGGAUUUGGACCCCGCCGGUGUUCAUAUGCAUAAAUGAGCAGGCUUGCAUCCUGAUUGGGCUUAGUAAAUCUGAAGCUCAGAAAAGAAGCGGCUUCAGAAGUCAUCAAAUGGAAACUGAAACCAUGAGAAUAAAUGAAAAGACCCACGAAGCAUGUAGAUGAUGAGAAGGGAGGAAAUUGAAGACCACAAGGACUUACAUUUCAGGAGUGGAAAAAGGAAGAGGAGCCUAAGAAUAAAUAGAGAAGAAGGAGGAAAGCCAUGAGAGUAUAACAUCAUGGACACCACAUGCAUCAGCCACGCAGUUGAUCCUCUGUCUCACUUUCUCCUUCCUAACAGAACCUGAUGUUGUUAGGGUAAGCACCCACCUCUGGAGGGCUAUGUGCUUCAGAGGAGGCAGCCGCAGCCACAGCUCCAAAGGAAGAGAUGGGAUGGCAGCAUGAGGGUGAUUCCACGCGCAGAGAAAGGCAAAACCACGACGAUCACUGAGAAACAGCAAUGGAGCCUUGGCAGCAGCAAGCCCUGGUUGUCUUGUUAUGUGACAUGAUAAAUUGUUUAAGGCAGUCUGAGUCAAAGUUUUGCUAACGUUGUUUGUGGACAAUUUAAGUACUUUAAUCACAAAGGAGUUUAAUAUAGGGAAGUAGCUGCUUACGAAAACUUAUAGAAAUGACUCCUGGAACAUGUAAAGCUGACCCCUGUCUGAAGAGUGGGGACUCAGGAGACCACUAUGAGAACUAAUGAGUCCAAGAACACAGUGCUUUAUUUGCAAUCCAAGGAUCAGAAAGCCAUAACCAAACCACCACAGCUGCCUGUCAGUACUCACAAAGCUGGUGAAUUAACAUGGAACACUAGUUCAGAAAACUGACCCAUCUUUUUGACCUUACUUGCUGGUCAGAAGAAUGACCUUCACUUAUUUCCACUUUCCAGAUAGCUCCCAUCUAAUGACCAGCUUUUUUGCUCUUUAUUCCAACUUUCAUCUCAGAUCGUCUAUCUAGAAUCAUUUUUCCUUUAGAAUUUUCUGAGGGUCUUCUUGUGAUUUUUCAGAUUCGGUUUGCCUGGAAAUAUCUUUGUAUUGCCCUCAUUCUUGAAAAAAAAAAUUUUCUAAACAUAGAAGAUA
Long non-coding RNA from Pteropus alecto (black flying fox), 1815 nucleotides. RefSeq lists it as uncharacterized. Lineage: Eukaryota; Metazoa; Chordata; Mammalia; Chiroptera; Pteropodidae. The transcript has 4 exons. The record is from RefSeq and is a predicted model, not a curated record.